Long non-coding RNA from Bubalus bubalis (water buffalo), 933 nucleotides. RefSeq lists it as uncharacterized. NCBI's taxonomy places the organism in Eukaryota, Metazoa, Chordata, Mammalia, Artiodactyla, Bovidae. The record is from RefSeq and is a predicted model, not a curated record. The transcript has 2 exons.
CAGUCUCCAGCACUGCAGACAGAUACUUUCCUGCUGAGCCACCAGGGAAGCCCUAUUACUUGGGGUGGUGUUAGCCAAAGACAAGUUGACUGACCAAGAGCUUGCUUUGACUUUGCUGUUAGAUAGGUCCACGUGGAGACUCAGGGGGUGCAAGUGUGCUACAAAAGCUUGGAGGCAGCAUUCCUGGCAAGUGUAUGCUCCCCUACCUACCCCCUCCACCUCCUGGGUUACUAACUGGUUACCUGGCAACCAGCUUUCUUCAACUUCAUCUGCAGAGCCACCAGGCUCAGCCUCCCCUCCCCCAGCCCUUGAGUCUCCCAUGAAUCACUGGGGACCUGGGGGAUGGGAUACAUAAUCAGAUUUUAAUUGUCACAUUGUCUCUGAUCUUUUUUUCUGUGUGCAUAUCUUCUAGGCAGAGAUGUAAUUUCAAUUAAUUUUGCUUAUCUGAUAAAAGUUUCAUAUCCUUUAGGCUAAUUUCAUUUGAACUAAUCAGCACCAUGUUCAUCUUUGAGUUCCAGCCUGGAUGUCUUACCUUAUCUGGAGCAGAGAUCGCCUCCCUCUGUCACAUCAAAGCGUGUCUGGGCUGUGCAAGUAGACCAAGCUGUGAGACGUGGGCUCUCAGCCCGCACUGAGAAAAAGAAAAGAAAUGGAGCUGCUGUUAAGAAUUCAUGUGAGGAAGUCGUCAUGAACUUGGAGCUUUUUAAAACCACCAACUGGUUCCCCUCCCUCAAGAAGCAGGUGCCCAUGUGUGGGAGGUGGUGGGAGCCAGGCUCAAUCUCCCAGCGGGCCUGAUCUCAACAUGGAAGAACAGCAUCUCCCGGCUGCUGGAGACUAAUUGCAUGUGGGAUGGAAUAGGACCAAGUUAGUUUUAAUGAAAAACCUGAAUUUAUUGCCCCCAUUGAGAUUUCAUUAAAUUGGUUACAAACUGCUGUU